CAGUCGUACCGGCGGAUAAUCAGCCUUUCGGGUGCGAUUCUGUGGGGCGUGAGGAGCUUAACCGCCUUCAUGUUUUACAUAUUCGUGCACUUUGGGUGUACUUGCUUGUGUGUAGGUUAACAUCAAUUUUGAUUAUCAUAAAAUGAUUGGAGGAAUGUAGCUUCAAUCUCGUAUUGCAGUGUUAAGCCUUUGGGAUGUGAUGAUCGAGAUUGGAGGAUUGCAACGGAUACCCUUCGGGGCUACCCGUCUGAU
This 252-nucleotide ribosomal RNA is filed under the name Glomus sp. (unid). The record is from RNAcentral. Lineage: Eukaryota; Fungi; Glomeromycota; Glomeromycetes; Glomerales; Glomeraceae.